Long non-coding RNA from Ictalurus punctatus (channel catfish), 790 nucleotides. The record is from Ensembl. NCBI's taxonomy places the organism in Eukaryota, Metazoa, Chordata, Actinopteri, Siluriformes, Ictaluridae.
CGGUGCAGAUGUGAAAGUUAAGCACUCAAGUAUGAACCUCUUUUGCUUCAUGGCUGUGUUUUAGGAGCAGGAAGAAGAAUGCGAGUCUCACAGACUCCUGAAACUGCAGUACACAGAGAUUAUGAAAACUUUAAAACAGUGCUACGAGUUACUAAAAGGUCACAGGGAACCUGGAGCCUAUCACAGGGAGCAUCGGGCACGAGGCGGGGUACACCCUGGACAGGGAGCCAAUCCAUCACAUGAAACAAUCCCAUACCCAUUCACACACUACGAACACUUUGGACAUGCCAAUCAGCCUACCAUUGGUCUUUGGACUGGGGGAGGAAACCUGAGUACCCAGAAGAAACCCACACAGCACGGGGAGAACAUGCAAACUCCACACAUUCUCUGGUGGGAAUCGAACCCCCAACCCUGGUGGUGUGAGGCGAAAGUGCUAACAACUAAGCCACUGUGCUGCAAAAAUUUCUAUAACAACCAAAAAGAUAAAAUGGUUUAAAUGGUUUAGGUGAAUAAUCUAUGAAUGGCCAAAACACAGAUCUCAGCAGGGAUCCAAAACCAGUACAGAUAGAAUUGCUGUUUAUCCGGAAAAUAGACAGAUACAGCAUGCGCAUACAGCAUCAACGUUAAUUGUAAACAGUUUAAUGUUUCAAAGUCUUAAAGCAGUAUUUUAAGAUCAGCAGCACAUGCAUUCUCUUUAACUGAUAAACAUGGAUAAGAAGUAACUAGCAGGCCCUAUCCAUUAACAAAAUCACAGUUUAUCUGGCGAGGAGGCAUUUUAAUGUGAUUGGAC